AGAGUGAACGCUGGCGGCAGGCCUAACACAUGCAAGUCGAACGGCAGCACAGGGGAGCUUGCUCCCUGGGUGGCGAGUGGCGGACGGGUGAGGAAUACAUCGGAAUCUACCCAGUCGUGGGGGAUAACCUCGAGAAACCGGGACUAAUACCGCAUACGACCCACGGGUGAAAGCGGAGGACCGCAAGGCUUCGCGCGAUUGGAUGAGCCGAUGUCGGAUUAGCUUGUUGGCGGGGUAAUGGCCCACCAAGGCGACGAUCCGUAGCUGGUCUGAGAGGAUGAUCAGCCACACUGGAACUGAGACACGGUCCAGACUCCUACGGGAGGCAGCAGUGGGGAAUAUUGGACAAUGGGCGCAAGCCUGAUCCAGCCAUGCCGCGUGAGUGAAGAAGGCCCUCGGGUUGUAAAGCUUCGUUUUGUGGGAAGAAAGCAAGUCGGUUAAUACCCGGUUAGUACUAGACGGUACCCAAAG
This 471-nucleotide ribosomal RNA is filed under the name uncultured soil bacterium. Its description in RNAcentral is "bacterial SSU rRNA". It matches the Rfam family "Bacterial small subunit ribosomal RNA", at positions 26 to 484 of the family's 1533-position model. The record is from RNAcentral.